Molecule: ribosomal RNA, 1459 nt
Filed under: metagenome
Description: bacterial SSU rRNA
Rfam family: Archaeal small subunit ribosomal RNA
Source: RNAcentral
UCUGGUUGAUCCUGCCAGAUCUGACUGCUAUCCGGGUGGGACUAAGCCAUGCGAGUCGAAUGAAAGCACUUGUUUUCAUGGCGCACUGCUCAGUAACAAGUGAUCAACUUGCCCUUCAGAGGGACAUAACCUCGGAAAACUGAGGAUAAUUUCCCAUAGUUGAAAAUGCCUGGAAGGUUUUUCAUUGAAACGGGGUACGAAUUGGAGUACUUCCGCUGAAGGAUAGGAUUGCUCCCGAUUAUGGUUGUUGGCGAGGUAAUGGCUCACCAAGCCUAUGAUCGGUAAGGGCCGUGAGAGCGGUAGCCCUGAGAUGGAUACUGAGACAAGGAUCCAGGUCUUACGAGGUGCAGCAGGCGCGAAACCUUUACAAUGCGCGCAAGCGUGAUAAGGUUACCCGGAGUGCCGGUGGUACAAACUACCGGCUGUUACAGAGCAUAAAUCACUCUGUGAGGAAGGAGAGGGCAAGGCUGGUGCCAGCCGCCGCGGUAAAACCAGCUCUUCAAGUGGUCAGGAGAAUUAUUGGGCUUAAAGUGUCCGUAGCCGGUUUAGUAAGUUCCUGGUUAAAUCUGGUAGCUUAACUAUCAGUCUGCUAGGAAAACUGCUUUACUAGGGGGUGGGAAAGGUCCGAGGUACUCCAGGGGUAGCGGUGAAAUGUGAUAAUCCUUGGGGGACCACCAGUGGCGAAAGCGUCGAACUGGAACACGCCCGACGGUGAGGGACGAAAGCUAGGGGAGCGAACGGGAUCAGAUACCCCGGUAGUCCUAGCUGUAAACGAUGCGUGCUAGGUGUUGGAAGGGCUAAGAGCCGUUUCAGUGCCGUAGGGAAACUGUUAAGCACGCCGCCUGGGAAGUACGCUCGCAAGAGUGAAACUUAAAGGAAUUGGCGGGGGAGCACCACAAGGGGUGAAGCCUGCGGUUCAAUUGGACUCAACGCCGGGAAACUUACCGGGGGCGACAGCAGAAUGAAGGUCAGGCUGACGACCUUACCAGACAAGCUGAGCGGAGGUGCAUGGCCGUCGCCAGUUCGUGCCGUGAGGUAGCCUGUUAAGUCAGGCAACGAACGAGACCCACACAUUUAGUUGCCAGCGACAGCCUUCGGGUUGGUCGGGAACGCUAAACGGACUGCCAUCGUACAGAUGGAGGAAGGGGUGGGCCACGGCAGGUCAGUAUGCCCCUAAACCCCCGGGCCACACGCGGGCUGCAAUGGUAUGGACAACGGGUUGCAACUCUGAAAAGAGGAGCCAAUCUCUAAACCAUAUCUCAGUUGGAAUUGUCGGCUGUAACCCGCCGACAUGAACGUGGAAUCCCUAGUAAUCGUGUGUCAUCAUCGCACGGUGAAUACGUCUCUGCUCCUUGCACACACCGCCCGUCGCUCCACCCGAGUGUUAUACAAUUGAAAAAUGGUCAUUUGGUCAUUUUGAAAUUGCAUAAUGCAAGCGGGGAGAAGUCGUAACAAGGUA